GGUGAAAAUCUAACCCAUUGAGCCUUUUUUCGAUGGCCUUAUUCUGCCUAGUUCACAUAUUUUCCUCCAAAAGCUACUCAGACGGUUUACUUUGGGUUGGGCUGCCUGUGGCUUUUAUUCAAGAUGGCGGCUCGUGGAGUGGCAGUACGAGAAUCUAAACAACCAAAGGAAAUUUAUCAAGAUGCUUUAGACAACGUCUCUGCUUUCAAUGCACGUCUUUGUUUCGAGCGCAAGAUGCGAGCUCCCUUUCUGGACGCCCAGACUGGAAUAGCCAUGAAUAACUGUAGUUUGUGGCUUAGUAGAUUCAUGAGGAGAGAGCCCAAGACACCUCAGUAUAUUUAUACAUACCCAGAGAAACGCUGGAGGAAGAGAAAACGAAUCUACCAUCCCGAGAAUGAUGAAGAAGAGGGCAGCCAUGUUGAAAAUGAAGUAGAGGGUAGUUCUUGCCCAGGUGAGCCAGACAGUGAACAGACAAGUGAAGUCCCAGAAAGUUCUGCCCAAGAUGUCGUUAAAGAUGAUGUAAUAGAGCAAGAAGUUGUGCCAUUAGAUUCUAGUGAUCUGGAAGAAGACAUUGAAGAGUCAACUGUGGUUUCUGAUGACGAAGAAUAUGAAGCAUACAAGAGAAAAAAACCUGGAAGACCAGGAAGAAAAAAGGGAGUAGCUGUUGGUGCCUCUGCCAUUAAACAUUUUCCACGUGCUGCAAUGAUGUCUAGUUCAGGAUCCUUGACUGUCAGAAAUAUAACCAAGGAAGAACUGGCCAGAAUGAACCCAGAUGAUCGCAAGAAACCUUAUGUUUGUGAAAUAUGUGGAAGACGUUACAAGAAUGGCCCAGGCCUCAAGUAUCACUACACCCAUUAUAACCAUGAUCUUGAUAACAACCCCUCGCAAGAGGAAUCUCACCCCUCCAUGCCGACAACUCCAGCUUCAAGCAUGAUUGCGGUGGAGUCACCAAAUCCCCCUUCACCUGCAGUAAAGGUGGCACGCAAGAUGGAUGGACCACGACUGCAUACUGCCACACCUAAUAGUUACUGUGACUUCUGUUUGGGCGAUAGACUUCACAACAAGAAGACAGGAGCAUCAGAGGAACUGCUGUCAUGUGCUGACUGUGGUAGAUCAGUUGAUGAAAGGCAAAACAUUAUGGGUGGCGUAGUGGUUUGCCGCUAGCCUCUCACCACUAUGGUUCAGGUUCAAGCCCCAGCUCAGACUGGUUUAUAUGGCAUCCAUCCUGUCUGCAGUUUACUGCAAGACUAACUGAAAAUGUCAAGAAAUAUCAUUGGCAGUGCAUAGAGUGCAAGUCAUGUAGCCUUUGUGGCACUUCUGACAAUGAUGAUCAGCUGUUGUUCUGUGAUGACUGUG
RNAcentral lists this unclassified non-coding RNA (1356 nucleotides) under Actinia tenebrosa (Australian red waratah sea anemone). RNAcentral's name for it is "zinc finger protein ubi-d4 B-like, transcript variant X3". Lineage: Eukaryota; Metazoa; Cnidaria; Anthozoa; Actiniaria; Actiniidae. The record is from RNAcentral.